This is a long non-coding RNA of Micropterus dolomieu (smallmouth bass), 4276 nucleotides long. RefSeq lists it as uncharacterized. The record is from RefSeq and is a predicted model, not a curated record. The transcript has 3 exons. Lineage: Eukaryota; Metazoa; Chordata; Actinopteri; Centrarchiformes; Centrarchidae.
GUGUGUACAGGUGUGGUCUGCUGAUGCUGGCGUGUCCCACAGUCCACCAUCAGACUUGUUGUGGAAGAGUCAGGCUUCCUGGGGCACAGGAAAUUGCAUAGUUACCGUUCUGAUCAACGCUGAUGGAGAGGAGGUGGCCCGAAGGAGUGUAACCAAGACUCAGGUGGAUGUAGAGAAUGGAGAGGAAGAGGAGAAAGUGGUACAAACCGGCAGAGUGUCAUCCAGAGAGUGUGCCAUCAUGUGAAGCCUUCCUAUUUGGUUGAUGACUUUGACUUCCCUGUUAUAUUUCUUUUUUUCCUCCUUUUUUAAAGCCACUCAGGUAUGAUCCUGUCCAUUGCCGCCUCAUCUGGUGAUUUUAUUGUUCAAGACAACAUGAGAUUUUUUGGACGGCCCUCCACAUUUCUGGACCUACUUUAAUAUGAGUCAUUUAUCUAAAUAUAACUUGCAAUGACAAUGUCAGUGGAUCAUGCAAAGAUCCAAAUGUUGUUGGAGCCCCUACUUGCAUCACUCUACAUGAUAUUGACUCAGGCUACAUCCACACUAAUACCUUUUUGUUUAAAUACGCAUAACUUUUACUCCUAGUGUCUCCCUACACCGGUGUUUUCCAACGCCUAAGACCGAGAGCUACCACUCUAAUAUAUCACUGUAUUUGCUUUGAGGUGACUCUCAAUCUAUGUUUGCUUUAUUCUGUCAAUAACUGUCCAAGGAAAGAAAUCUCUGGUCUUCAUUCCUAGUAUUUUCUGCCACUAAGAAACCCACGGCAGAGUGGACAAUCUACUCCCUGUUUAGACUGGCAUUCCCAGUGUAUGUGAAUGAUCAUGUGAUAUGCUUUUUUUCAGGCGUGUUAAUAUGGCUAGAAUUUCUGUGACAGUGCUAAAAUGCUCAUUUGUAUGGAGAUGGUUUGAAACACUGGUUUAAAAUAAAAAGGUAUUAGUGCGGAGGUAGCCCACCCACAGGCUGUCUUUCAUUCUUCUCUGGUGAGCAUUUUAGUUUCAUCCUACAUGCACAGAGGACGACAAGAAGAAAAAAUGUUUUCUCCAAAAUUCAAUUAAGAGCUGCUCAGGUCAAAUCAAGACAUUUCUGACCUUUAAGGUCUUUAAGUGUUUCCCAUAUAUAACAUUUAUUUGUGUGGCUGCGAGGGGUGUGACGAGACACUUCGUUCACGAGUUGAGACCGGAGACGAUAUUGGGUUCAUGAGAUCGAGACGAGACGAGGUUUUAGCAUUAAACAGUUAAUUUCCUACAUUGUGGUGAAAAUUUCUGCAGCAAUUUAUGAUGUAAAUGUUUGAUUAUGUGAAGGGAAACAAGAUUCAAGUGGUAGGUGACAAUUCUAAAUCUAAAACUCUUAACAGAAUAUAAUGCAGUGCAGGGCUCAGAGAUUCUGUAUUCCUUUCAGAUACGUUUCUGCCAUUGUUGCUGCAGCGGUCUGUGUGACAGAGGGACCAGAGGGCUCUAUGCCACAGGCUUCCCCCGCCACCACUUGGGGAGCUCCUCAACUCCAAUUUUUGUUCCGCCAUAACUUUUCGUAAAACUUUCAAUAUUUGAAAUCUACACAGUUGAUUUCUUACCUCAAAACUUCUCAGAUAUAAUGUAUGAAAAUUGUAGAAUAUAAAACUUUGUUGCUGGCCUCUUUCCGGCGUGCGCAAUCAUGAUGCAGUGAAUAGUGACGAUUCUCUCUGACCAAUUAGUAGUCUGCUGUGUUGUCACGUCACAUUUUAGUAUCGCUUCAGCUUGCUUAGAACCGUGACGGAGGUGAUAUGAAAAAAAGUAGCAGGUAGAACUUUUCCACAAUGGAAAACCAAACAAAGGCGAAUCAAGGCGAGCUGGUACCAUGCAGUGGAAAAGGGGCUUAAAUGUGCUUGUGACACCUUUUCAUCUGUAUUAAUUUUAAUUCAGUCGUAAACGCUUGGACUUUAGUAGCUCCUGUGUUUCAGCAGGUUUCCUGCUCAUGUUCAAAACUUUCUGCACAUUCAGAAUCUCUCCCAUAUAUCUUUGGUCUCUAAAAUGUCCAGAAAAAAGUUGUAAAAUUACGAGACUAACAUCAUCAUUUAAUGAGAAUUCAUGUAAAUUUUACUUAAAAAAGUCUACUUGCUUCUUACUGCUGUGGAUUACAUUACUGCUCCGCUGGUAGUAUUCCCUUCGGAUUGUUUGGAAACCAGAAAAGUGAAAACACUUGUGAUCAGGCAGAAAUCUCACCACAAAUCCACACACAGCUUUAAUAAAGUGCAGCUCACAGUCCCAAACAGAGCAAGGUUUGUGCACUCCACUGCUCCAUUUUAUUUUCACUGCGUUAGAAAAUUGAUGUAAGAGCGUGUGAAAAGUGUCAGUUGCAUGAGUCUCGUCACAUUUUAAUCUUGUCACACCCCUAGUGGUUACCCGUAUAGAUUCUGCCCUGCUACACACUUUCUCUGUAUUUCUUAUUUGUCUUCCUUUGAAAGAUCUGCAUAGUGCAGUUGAGAUUACAGAUUGAGUAGUGACAGCCUGUUAAAAUUAUGCAUUCUUUUGAGUUUGUGUUGAAAGACUGAUUAUCCCAUUAUUAAAAGUUAGCUUGAUGACACUGCUGCUCAGCAGCCAACUGGCAGGUGUUGGACUGAGAGCUUCAGCCGCCACAAAUGAGCUCCAAACCUUUGGGGUACACGUGGUCAUUACAUGACCUGCAGUCAGAAUCCUGAUCAUAGUCCUGAAGCUGUCCCCUAUCCCUCUGCUUUGUCUCUGUCCUUUUCUAUUUCUCUCCCUUGUUUCUUUAAAAAUAGCAAUGAAAUGUGAGAGUUCAUCUGAUCUCAGUCUUAUUGGCAGAGCUUGAAUAAACAGCCAUUUGAAGCUUGCUGGAAAGGUUUGGAGAGGCUUGUGAUGUUAUCUUCCAGUUGCGCAUUGAAGCUGUAUUUCACAGUUUUGACUCACAACCUGUAAUUUCUGAUAGCUGUUAUAUUGAAAAAGUAGAGAAUGAAUUAUCUGUGAGGCCUAUGUGUGGUGUUGUAGUGGAAUAAAUACGUAGAAGAGAGAAAUGGAUCCCCCUCUCUGUAUUGAUCCUGUUGACCACCACUGGUCACCGGACGGACCAGCUUGGCCUCAUGCAGCAUGGCAGCCUUCCAUGUUGAAAAGCUAUUACUCGUGACGUGUAACCAAUUAGAUAGUACUGUCUGUCUCGCGACAGAGAAGUGGCUACAUCAGAGCCAAGGUAGCUCAUUUUAAAAUUAAUUUAACCCUAAUAUGUUUUGUUUUUUUGCUUAUCCAAAAUAUGAUCCGAUCUGUGACUCAAAACCACAGAAUGAUCCGAACGAGUUCCUUCUGAGUAGCACAUUGCUAUAUUUAUAUAGCCCAUUGCUGCCAAGUUCAGUGUUCACUGAUAUUUCAGCUCUGUUUCAGUCACCAACACCUUCCAAAAAUAAGUGUCUCAGAUUUGCCAGAUCUCCUGGCUAGUGCAGUGCUAGAUAAAUAGGUUUACAGCCAUAAAACUUGUUAACUCAUCUGCUGGAAUGCUGUUGUAAUAACAGUCACCAUUUCUUUGCUGGGAUUGUCAUGGAACAGACUGGUCCAGAUUGUCUCUGAAGUUUUACCAGGUGGAUGUGGGUCUGGUGUUUUGAUCCCUAGCUGGGCCACUAAAAUAAUAUGCUUAAAAGAAAAGGCUUGUGAGUGGCUUUGUCAGUGUAAAAUAUUAAACUGACAUGUAUGUACUGCAUAACAUUACAAGCAGUAAAACGGGGAAAACACUUGAUUAACUGAUACGGUGUGUGGCGAUAUUCUGAUGGACUGCAUUAUUUCCAUCUCUGUAUUUUCUUUUGUUUUGGAUUGCAGUACAUUGUAAUAGUAUUGCUCUUGCACCUUGUGUGCCAUCUUGGGAUACUAAUAUGUUCUUGUGUGCUGUCCAUUGCUAGUUAUUUUUCUAUAGAGUUCUUGUCUAUAUAAUCAUUAUGUUUACAUGAAAUGUUUCAUUAUUUUGUGUUUAGGAUUUCUGGGAUGAUUUAGGGUUGGGCUUUCCUGGCCCAAACAGAAGGGUAAAAACUGAUUUGUGGGCUUAAAUAUAUUUGAAGAUUUUGAUAAAACAAUACUGAACACUACUCAUAGUUUUCUGCUUAGAGUUUCAAGUUUUCAGUUGGUGAGUGAAGGAUGUGAAAAUCCUGUUUCAUAUUGGCAGAAGCAACAACUUCUGUGUAGUAAUUGGGAAGUGACCAACAAUGAACAUCUGAGUUAAUUCUGCAUGCCAAAUGAAAGUUUUCAUUCAUGAUUAACUGUUGAACUACUUUUUGUACACACAAUAAAUGUUUUGCAUAAACACA